AUUGAACGCUGGCGGCAGGCCUAACACAUGCAAGUCGAGCGGAUGAAGGGAGCUUGCUCCUGGAUUCAGCGGCGGACGGGUGAGUAAUGCCUAGGAAUCUGCCUGGUAGUGGGGGAUAACGUCCGGAAACGGGCGCUAAUACCGCAUACGUCCUGAGGGAGAAGGUGGGGGAUCUUCGGACCUCACGCUAUCAGAUGAGCCUAGGUCGGAUUGGCUAGUUGGUGGGGUAAAGGCCUACCAAGGCGACGAUCCGUAACUGGUCUGAGAGGAUGAUCAGUCACACUGGAACGGAGACACGGUCCAGACUCCUACGGGAGGCAGCAGUGGGGAAUAUUGGACAAUGGGCGAAAGCCUGAUCCAGCCAUGCCGCGUGUGUGAUGAAGGUCUUCGGAUUGUAAAGCACUUUAAGUUGGGAGGAAGGGCAGUAAGUUAAUACCUUGCUGUUUUGACGUUACCAACAGAAUAAGCACCGGCUAACUUCGUG
This 484-nucleotide ribosomal RNA is filed under the name uncultured bacterium. Its description in RNAcentral is "partial 16S ribosomal RNA". It matches the Rfam family "Bacterial small subunit ribosomal RNA", at positions 30 to 507 of the family's 1533-position model. The record is from RNAcentral.